RNAcentral lists this non-coding RNA (27 nucleotides) under Homo sapiens (human). The record is from RNAcentral. Lineage: Eukaryota; Metazoa; Chordata; Mammalia; Primates; Hominidae.
UGUUGGAAAUUGAUAUGUUGAUAGUGU